AAGAAAUUUAAUAAUUUUGAAAAUGGUUUUUUUUGUUUUGGCAAAGAGCAUGAGAGCUUUUACUGGGCAAGAAGACAAGAGAUGGAGAGUCCAGCCGGGCCUGCGCUUGAAGUGCGCGGUCUUGCUAGGCUUGUAAGUUUCUUUCUUGCUAUUCCAAACGGUGAGAGAUUUCUGUAGCUUUUGUUAUAGGACAAUUAAAACCGUUUCAAUACAACACACUGUGGAGUUUUCAUAUCUUUGCAACUUUUUCAUUUGGGCAAUUCGAGCAAUCGGGGCCCAGAGGUAACAAACACAAACAAUUUUAUCUAUUCAUUAAAUUUUUGUCAAAAACAAGAAUUUUCGUAACUGGAAAUUUUAAAAUAUUAAAAACUUUCAACAACGGAUCUCUUGGUUCUCGCAUCGAUGAAGAACGCAGCGAAAUGCGAUACGUAAUGUGAAUUGCAGAAUUCCGUGAAUCAUCGAAUCUUUGAACGCACAUUGCGCCCCUUGGUAUUCCAGGGGGCAUGCCUGUUUGAGCGUCAUUUCCUUCUCAAACAUUCUGUUUGGUAGUGAGUGAUACUCUUUGGAGUUAACUUGAAAUUGCUGGCCUUUUCAUUGGAUGAUUUUUUUCCAAAGAGAGGU
This 621-nucleotide ribosomal RNA is filed under the name Saccharomyces cerevisiae (brewer's yeast). RNAcentral's name for it is "partial 18S ribosomal RNA". The stretch from base 368 to 521 matches the Rfam family "5.8S ribosomal RNA". The record is from RNAcentral. Lineage: Eukaryota; Fungi; Ascomycota; Saccharomycetes; Saccharomycetales; Saccharomycetaceae.